UUCUUUCAGAGAUUAUAUGUGAAGUGCCACGUGACCGUCGGCUUUCUUAUGCGUCUUAUUAUUUUUAUGGGAACAUGAGAUUGAAUGAAAGAAGAACUUACAAAUGUUCGUCUGAUUAUCGUCAAAUGGCAAGUGAGGCCACAUGUACAAAAGAUGGUUGGAAACCUGAUCCACUGUGUGGUGCUGACAUUAUGUGUGAAGCACCAAAUAUCCCAAAUGCUCAGUUUGAAGAACGCACUAGAACUCACUAUGAAGUUAAUUCACGAAUAGUUUAUCAUUGUCCUACUGAACCCCAGCGACGCAUAGAAAUCACCUGUAAUUCCCAGGGCAGAUGGACAAACAUACAGCCCUGUAGGCCUACUGGCAAG
Non-coding RNA from Misgurnus anguillicaudatus (oriental weatherfish), 368 nucleotides. Lineage: Eukaryota; Metazoa; Chordata; Actinopteri; Cypriniformes; Cobitidae. The record is from RefSeq and is a predicted model, not a curated record.